UUGUGAAAGAGCGUAGAUCUACUAUGCUUAAUAGGGAGAUGGACCUUUCUCGGUUGAUGAUACAUGCCCAAUAGAUCAAAGCUAAUAAGGUGAAAGAGAGGGAGAGAGUAAGAGGAAAUAAAAGAGCUAGAUCAGAGCAACAGGGAUUCAGUCAGUCCAGAUUCCAUAGAGGGAAUCACCCUUAAUUUCAGGGAUAUUCAUUUAUUCCUGCACCUUCCUCAAUUAGUGCU
This 230-nucleotide long non-coding RNA is filed under the name Capsicum annuum. RNAcentral describes it as "long non-coding RNA (CANN_LNC014074)". Lineage: Eukaryota; Viridiplantae; Streptophyta; Magnoliopsida; Solanales; Solanaceae. The record is from RNAcentral.